CGCGAAACGUGGCAGGAGAAAGCGAAAGGGCGCGCGGGGCCGAAAUCCCCGGGCUGGAGGCGAGGCUUGACGCGCCCUGGGCAGCAGCCGGGCACCUGCCGCCGGGAGGUGUGCUCGGGCAUCGGGGCGGCGUUGAGAGCGCCGCAGUCUUGGGACUCUGCGUGGCGUCGGAAGAAGCCAACACCCGCGGGAUGAGAAGAAUAGCAACACAACCGGUCCUCCAGCCGCGCGUUCAUCCCUGCUUCGAACCCGGGCGCGCGGAGGGUCGGGGGGUGGGGGUCACUCAAUAGGUGACUGCAGCCCCCGCGGGGCCUCCCGGCAGGGAAAAGCCUUCGGUGGGAAAGGAGCGCCCGCGCUCAGGGCAGAGAGGACUCGCACUUUGCCCAUGCUCAGAAGGCUAGUUGUUGUUCGCCCCGUCCGGGCCUCGAGGGCCGGUCUGGCCGGGUGGCCAGCGCUGCCUGCAGCCGGACCGAACUGAGCCUGCCAGCCUCCUCCCUCCGGGCCGGCCCGGGAGGUAGACCGCGGGGCGGGGCGGGGCUGGGCGCGGAAAGCCUCCCGGGCACUCCCGCCCAGCGCCACGCCUGUCGGCGAGCGUCUCCCGCCGCCGCCGCCGCCGCCGCCGCCGCCGCCUGGGCUGCCCGGAGCCGUCGAGGUGGCCGUGGCCAUGGACGGGCAGGCGGCGAUGGAGCCCUACGACUACAGCCGGAUCGUGGGGCCCCUUCAAGAACCGGACAGCCCCAGGACGCCGCGGCUGGACUCCGCCGGCUGUGCGACGCUCCACACCGGGCACCGGACCGCGGCGCAGCGGUACAAGGCGCGGCUCUGCCAGGCUGGCCUGGAACCCGAGAGCAUGGCCGAUUACCUGAUCAGCGGCGGCACCGGCUACGUCCCCGAGGAUGGGCUGACGGCGCAGCAGCUGUUCGCCGUGGCCGACGGGCUGACCUACAAGUAAGCGGCGGGCGCGGGGCGCGGGGAGGGCGGCCCCCAGCCCGGGAGGAAGGGGCGGCGCGCGGGGCUCUGCGGAGCGAGGCGCAUCUCUGCCCGGCCGGGGAAGCCCCCCGGCCGGCCCGGGCCUUGUU
RNAcentral lists this long non-coding RNA (1079 nucleotides) under Pseudonaja textilis. RNAcentral describes it as "lncRNA (ENSPTXG00000018383.1)". The record is from RNAcentral. Lineage: Eukaryota; Metazoa; Chordata; Lepidosauria; Squamata; Elapidae.